Non-coding RNA from Brachypodium distachyon (stiff brome), 209 nucleotides. The record is from RefSeq and is marked provisional. Lineage: Eukaryota; Viridiplantae; Streptophyta; Magnoliopsida; Poales; Poaceae.
GCGCGGCUCAAUUACAGGUUGCGGCCAUGCUCUCCACAGGCUUUCUUGAACUGUGAACUCGUGCGCCUAGCCUGCUAGCUGCUCAAUUCGAUCUGUCAUCCUCGGUUCGAUUCGAUCUGAAUUGCUUGUAUAUGAUAUGAUGUGCCUUGUUGAUGGUUCAAGAAAGUCCUUGGAAAACAUGGCCGCCGCCUCUUUCCCCUGCUGGCUUA